UUAUUAGGUUGUCCUUGUCAUUACAACAAGUACAGAAGACAUUCUUAAAACAUUGUUAAUAUUGAUAGGUGGACAAGGUGCUCGGCUGAAGCCUAAUAACUCUUGUCAAUUGUUAUUGUACCAUGUAUUGCUGCUCAAUACAAUAUGGUGCACAGGUGUAUAUGGAUAGAGAAGGAGAGUCCGAAGACUACAAUUUCACUAAUGAUCCUUCCGCAGAUUCACCUACGGAAA
This 231-nucleotide unclassified non-coding RNA is filed under the name uncultured fungus. Its description in RNAcentral is "sequence contains ITS1". The record is from RNAcentral. Lineage: Eukaryota; Fungi.